GACGAAGGAUGCAAGCGUUAUCCGGAUUCAUUGGGUUUAAAGGGAGCGUAGGUGGCCUUAUAAGUCAGUGGUGAAAUCUCGCAGCUUAACUGCGAAAUUGCCAUUGAUACUGUAGGGCUUGAGUACAGUUGCCGUUGGCGGAAUAUGACAUGUAGUGGUGAAAUACAUAGAGAUGUCAUAGAACACCGAUUGCGAAGGCAGCUAACGAAACUGUAACUGACACUGAGGCUCGAAAGUGCGGGGAGCAAACAGG
RNAcentral lists this ribosomal RNA (253 nucleotides) under uncultured bacterium. RNAcentral describes it as "partial 16S ribosomal RNA". It matches the Rfam family "Bacterial small subunit ribosomal RNA", at positions 524 to 776 of the family's 1533-position model. The record is from RNAcentral.